RNAcentral lists this ribosomal RNA (253 nucleotides) under uncultured bacterium. Its description in RNAcentral is "partial 16S ribosomal RNA". It matches the Rfam family "Bacterial small subunit ribosomal RNA", at positions 524 to 776 of the family's 1533-position model. The record is from RNAcentral.
GACAGAGGGUGCAAGCGUUGUUCGGAAUUAUUGGGCGUAAAGCGCGCGUAGGCGGCUUUGCAAGUCGGGUGUGAAAGCCCUCAGCUUAACUGAGGAAGUGCGCCCGAAACUGCAGAGCUUGAGUACCGGAGAGGAUGGUGGAAUUCCCAGUGUAGAGGUGAAAUUCGUAGAUAUUGGGAAGAACACCGAUGGCGAAGGCAGCCAUCUGGACCGACACUGACGCUGAGGCGCGAAAGCGUGGGGAGCAAACAGG